Molecule: long non-coding RNA, 5658 nt
Organism: Daphnia magna
Lineage: Eukaryota; Metazoa; Arthropoda; Branchiopoda; Diplostraca; Daphniidae
Exons: 2
Source: RefSeq, a predicted model, not a curated record
CUGGGCAAGAUUCACCGUGACCGGCCUUCUUUAAUACACCGGGCCUAGCAUCGCUUCUUGAAACAAUGCAAAACGUGGAUAGGCCACCUAUAAGCGCAAUACCAGCUACCAGGCCUUAGGUUUCAGUUACAGAAUACGGCAUUCAGCCAAGUUGGUCUUGCGGCAGUCCGUAAGUAUGUGAUGAUCAGCUGGAAUUUGGAGCAUGACAGCGCAUGUACUGCUGUAGUGCCAGAGCUUUAUUCAGUAUUAGCAAAUAUAAAUUUUAUCAAUACGGUUUACAUUUAUUAAGUUAAAAUCUUCACUACUAUGUUGCUUAGGUGAUUUCCAAUAUAGUUCAUUUUUUAGAAUUACCCUCCACCUGGUGAAUUUUUUGUUUUUUCAAUGAAAGUCUUGGGACGAGAGCUAAGCGUCAACUACUUAUUUUCUGCGCUAAAUUAGCGGUAUAUAAGGCUUCGCAUUCAAGUUUAGGUUGUGGAACAGUGUGCUCUUGUAGUUUGGAAGACGUGGGCAUUCGAUGAUGAGCGUCACUGUUCCCGCAAAGCUGAAAGACAAAGCUUAAACCGUGUUCUAGAGGAGAACGUUGUCAGGACAUCAGGUUGUGUAUGCCACGUCCACACGAAGUCGAGGGGUUGCAAGAAUAGCAGAGGCUCCCGGGCAUGCAGGUCGCGGAGGAGAUGGCCAAUUCGCGGUGUGAUACAUGAUCGUGGCUGUUGCGUGCUUUCGAGUGAUAUUGCGGAUGUCCAGAGGCCGAAGGGACGGUUCAUCAAUGGUGAAGUACUUCCAAUUUCAUCAUGUGCUUGGUCCGUAGAAGCAUAGAUCUAGCGUAACAGGUUGUCGGAAGAUGACACCUUUCCUUGGGUGAAUACGGAAAAGCUAAUAAUUUUUCAUUCUCGUAAACUUACAAAAAAAAAUCAUUUUUUUAAAUUUUUGUUUUGUUUUUUGUCCUUUAUAGGAUUGACAGUAUUUUUCUUGUGCUGAUUCUAAACGUAAAAGUUUGAUAUAUUUGUAGCUCUUUAUAGGCUGCAACGAGCGUCUCAGUAGAUAAAAGUAGCCUAUUUACCACGACUUUAUCAAGCUUCCUAGUCACCCUCGUUACAUUGAGUUAAAGCUGAAAUUUGAGUUAAAGCUGAAAUUAGAGUUAAAUAGCCCUUGUGGCCUAAUGAAUAAGGCACCGGCCUCCUAAGCCGGGGAUUGCGAGUUCGAGUCUCGCCAGAGGUAUAACGAAAUGUAUAUAUAUUCAUAGCAAUGUGAUUCCACUCGGAUUACCACAGAUUUGAGCAAAUAUUCCGUUUUUCAGCAGAAAAUUGUUUUCGGGAAAUUAUCAUUUUGUUUAAUGGAGUUUUUUAGUUUUUUCUUAAGUUACUUCUAAAUAAAAAUAUUUAACGAACGUAUUUUAGCAACUAUGAAAGAGCUUUCCGUUGUUUAGAUGGCCGUUUAGCUACAGAUUUAGGUUCUUGAACUGAUGCUUUCUGUCCCUUUACAGGUUUCCCUUUAGGCGGUGAGGUAGGUGGCAUGGAAUUCCGGGAAGCACCAUGGCUCUCAUGCAGGAGUUCUUCUACGAAACUCAGUGGAUCGAAUUCUUCCGAAAAUGACUCCUGAGCAACCGAAGUCAUUUUCUUUGCACUCUUCUUUUUCGCUGUUGCUGAGGUCUUCAUGGUAGCUUCCGGAUUAGGUACCUAAGAAUUCAUCAUGAAUCAAAAUAGCCAAGAACACACAUUGUAAUCGACUUACAUCAAUGUCGCCGUUUUCCGACGAUUUUGUUUUGCUUCUGUUUUCCUUCGAUUUGUUUACCUUGAUGUUCUUCUUUGGCGAUGAUUUCUUGUCCAUCGCGGAUGACUCGCCAAGAGGCUUUGACCCAGCUUUGAAUUUUGAACGUUUCGUAGAGGUUAUAUCUUUCGAUUUACCCUCCGUGCUGUCAUCGCCAGAAUAUUUCAACAUAAUUUCUUCGACGGAAAGUGCGACAUCUAUUGGCUCUUCGGAAAUUUUUGCUUUUUUUGACGGGCGUGAAUCCGUAGACAAUUUGCGUCGAGUUACUUUCGCCUUUGGCUUUUCUGUACCAGGCGUUGCCAUAGAAGUGAAACUUCUAGAUUCAGCAAGGAUUUUUUCGAUAAGUGCAUCAGCAGAUACAGAAUCUGAGGAAUUCAAUUCGUUUGAAGUGGGUAGCUCUUUUUUUCCGUUAGAAAUGGUUUUUGUCGAUUUCUUUGUUUUUGAUUUUUUGCCGGUAGAUUGUGUUUUCUUUGCAGGAAAAUUUUCAGAGGAACACUUUGCCGUUGUAUUUUCUUCGAGAGAAACAGUAUCAGCAACCUUGCUUUUGACUGGUGCUUUCUUACGCGGUAGGGCUUUUGAAGCUGAAACGCGUGAUUCGUUGUCAGAUUCCGAUAUAAAAUUGGGAUCUCUUACUCGAGUGUGACAUUUCCUCGCUGUCGAUUCGAUACGAGAUUUUUUCGGCUUUGGCUUAGAAGGUUCCUGUGCAGAAGGUAAGAGCACUUCCGUAGUUUCAACAUCAGCAACACGGUUCGUCUCACUCACAGAUAUUUCCUGGAGAGCAGAAACUGAAUCCACUUUUUUGGCAUUACCAAUUUGUCGUUUCCUUUUUGCGAACAGUAUUAACAGUUUCUGGCAUUGCUUCAACUUCUGGAUUUGUAAUGUCAGAAUGGGUACGUGACGCUUUGCUAUGUGUGACGGGUCCUGGCGUAGGCAAACGCUUCGAACUAGAAGUUGAAGGCAAAAAACAUCUUGUAAUGUCCGCGAUUCUUCUUGCGCACUUUCCUCCAAAACCUUCCAUCCGCCUAAAAUGGAAGAUUUGCGGUUACUACUUUGCGUGGUAUCCCUUUUACCAUUUUUCGACGAAGAGCUAUCCGACAAAGACUUUUCUCUGGUUUUAGUCAAAAAUUUUUUUUUGGCUGUAGUCUUCCCAAUUGCGAAGAAUUGGAAUCGUUAGUGCUCUUUGCCUUGUGUACUAGUUUAGACGUAGAACCAGCUAUUGGCAGUGGAGCUGAAAAAUGCGGAUUGGGUGGUUUUCGUUGAUGAACAGCUGAGUCGAUUUUUUCUUCUUAAAAGUACCAAAAUGCGAAAUAAAUUAAAACUGUUAGAAAAAAAUCGAUUGAGAAUCUAAAUAAAUAAGGGAUUACCUUCGCCUUCACUGCACGAAGCGAACAUGUCAGGACUUGAAGCCCCGAAAUCCCGAGAAAAGCCUGCCAAACACAUGCGGCAUUACAUUACGCAUCAACGAAAAAAAAAAACUAGAAGUAAUUACUUCUGUUUAGAUUAGAACCGAAAGACAGCUCUGGACGGUCGGUGUUUUCUUCCAAUACACACGCGUAGCUGCUUAGCUGAAUACCAGAUGUUGCGCUGUAAUUCUGGCUAGUUCUUUUGACUAAUGUUUCUUGAGGGAUUUCGAUUUCUUCUUCGACCACAUACUCCUCUUCUUCUUGUUCCAUACUGCUGGGCUUCAUGGCAGUAUUAGCGCAAUACAUGUCAACAUCGAGCUUUUUUAUAACUCGAUUGAUAUUCUCGGCAAUGUCAUCUGUUGAGCUAUUGCUACGAACGCUGAAACCUGUGACAGAAUCAUGUUAAACACAAAAAUAUAUGUCAUACACAAUUAAAUUCAAUACUUACUGACGAGUUCCAUGAGAGGAUAACGAUCUUCGUUCCGAAUAACUUCCUUCGGUUGGCUUGGCGCACCUGAAAACUGCAACAAAGGGGUAGACACACUCGAAAACGAGGAAGCUGGAGGACUCGGCGCAUCGGAAUCUAAAAACAAGAAAAAAAAUACAUAUAUUUUGGAUGCCAUUGUCAAAUUUAUUUUUAUGUGAUACUUAUUGAAUAACUUACAGUCUUCUGAUGCAAGAUAAAGGGAAGAGUCAAAAUAUGUUUCCGAUCGGCCAUCUGUUUCACUCUCAUCUGCUUGGUUUUCAAUGCUACUGAAAUCCGAAUCGUCGCAACAGGAAGACGGAGCGUAAUCGUCAUCUGAAGGGAAAUCUUCACAGGCACGAUCUGAAAUUUCGUCUUCGGAUAACGGGUUCCACCGACGGGAAUCAAAAAAUACUCUCCAACGUUGUUUCGCGGCUUCAAUUUUUGCCAAAAGAUUCGGAUUUAACUCAGGAAAAUUGAAAGUAUCGUCGUCUUCAGUUUCGAUGGGCGAAGACCUGUUGCUGGCCGCAUCCGAGUCAUCCGUUUCAUUUUCCGACAAAUCCAAAAAAGAAUCUCGGGAAUCCAAAGAACAGACCGAACCACCAGCUGACAGUGCCGCACUUCUUGACGAGCGAGUCAUCCCGAGAAAUCUCGAUUGGACAGUCAUCCUCAUUCUCUUCUCAUAUCGUUUAGCCAACAGAUCGUCAAUUGGAAGCUCCAAAAUACCGGCAGUAUCUUUCAUAACUCUGGCUAACGUUUUGUACUCCCCCCUUUCUUUGAGAGGUGCUGAGGUCAAGAUGAAAUUUGUAAACUCCUUCGCUUUUUGCUCAGAGCUUUCGCUCUGAGAAUUGGUUCAAGUCUGGAAUCAAACAUGACUUUGUGAUGGCUUAGCUGUUUAAUGAGGGAUUUCAGUAAUUUGCACUCUGGAUGUUCCCUUAGGGUGGCGACAAACGGAUGAUGAUGGGAUUCCAAAACGUAGCAGACAAAUACUUUGUUGGAGAGAAAUUCUGCGUCACCAUGUGGUAAAUUCAAAGGAGGCCCGGAACGUGGAAGACGGAAGCAUAGCCACCACCUUUUCCUAUCAUUAUGCCAAAGAUCUACCACAGAACGCAGGCAAUCGUCCGUCCCUGAAAAGAUUAGUUAGCGCGUAAACAAUCUUUAACAAGCGCGCACGUGAGGAAAAUUAUACGGGAACGUAACGAACCUUGCAUACAAAUCCAUCUCACGAUGUCAGCCAUAAUGCUCCAUCCUUCUCGGAUAACGGUCGAAGGUACGAUAAAGAUGUGCACGUCCAAAAAGUAAACCAUCAGCUCAAGACACUUGCUGAGACCUUCACGUUUGUGGGCCAAGGAAAUGGCACCAUAAUCCGAUCCGAAAUCAAAAUCCGAUUCAGUGUCAGACUGACAAUUAAUGCCCGAAUUAUGAACGUGCAAAUAAUGUUGGCAGAGCUCCAAAACCUAAUAAAAAAAUAAAAUAAAAUCGAUACACUUUCUUUGUGAAAUAAUUAAACCGAAGACCUUCGCAUCUCCCGAGUUUCUUUCAGCAACCAGUUCAAGAAUAGAGAAUGUUGUGAUGAUGUUGUGAUUGCAUCCUAUAUUUUAAAGAACUACAAAGGACAUUUACCUGGGUAUCCAGCCUUUGCUUUAAAGUCAAUAGUUUCCGAAGCUGAUAUCGGCACUGGUAUUAUAUGACCCGUUCUUUUGGAAACUCGUACUUUCUCUCCUUGCUCUGUAAACCGCCAUUCUACUUUAGUCCCUUUACUACAUCCGAAAAAUAUUAUUAGUCGUAAUAUAACACUAUCAUAAACGGUGUUCUUACUCAUCGGAAGGAUCAACCAAUGCAACCUCAUUCGUGACCAAAAGAGGUGCUUCUGACUGAAUUACUGUACCCGGGUAAUCAUCGGUCUUUCCAAUCCACCUGUAAUGCACGUUUAAGCCUUCAACAACAACCCAAUUCCUUUCCUGAAAAUAGAGAAAAUGUGUAAAAAAUACAGAAUUAGUGACUGUUGCUUUAUGAUACAAUUAA